Molecule: ribosomal RNA, 661 nt
Filed under: Oscillatoria tenuis M4
Lineage: Bacteria; Bacillati; Cyanobacteriota; Cyanophyceae; Oscillatoriales; Oscillatoriaceae
Description: bacterial SSU rRNA
Rfam family: Bacterial small subunit ribosomal RNA
Source: RNAcentral
GUCUUCGGACACAGUGGCGGACGGGUGAGUAACGCGUGAGAAUCUACCUUCAGGUCGGGGAUAACCCCUGGAAACGGGGGCUAAUACCGGAUAGGUCGAAAGAUGAAAGGUUAACUGCCUGAAGAGGGGCUCGCGUCUGAUUAGCUAGUAGGUGUGGUAAGAGCGCACCUAGGCGACGAUCAGUAGCUGGUCUGAGAGGAUGAGCAGCCACACUGGGACUGAGACACGGCCCAGACUCCUACGGGAGGCAGCAGUGGGGAAUUUUCCGCAAUGGGCGAAAGCCUGACGGAGCAAGACCGCGUGGGGGAGGAAGGCCUUUGGGUUGUAAACCCCUUUUGUUAGGGAAGAAAAAAAUGACGGUACCUAACGAAUCAGCCUCGGCUAACUCCGUGCCAGCAGCCGCGGUAAUACGGAGGAGGCAAGCGUUAUCCGGAAUUAUUGGGCGUAAAGCGUCCGUAGGUGGCCCGGCAAGUCUGCUGUCAAAGACCACAGCUCAACUGUGGAAAGGCAGUGGAAACUGCAAGGCUAGAGUGCGGUAGGGGUAGAGGGAAUUCCCAGUGUAGCGGUGAAAUGCGUAGAGAUUGGGAAGAACACCGGUGGCGAAAGCGCUCUACUGGGCCGCAACUGACACUGAUGGGACGAAAAGCUAGGGGAGCGAAUG